This 528-nucleotide ribosomal RNA is filed under the name Cronobacter sakazakii. RNAcentral's name for it is "bacterial SSU rRNA". It matches the Rfam family "Bacterial small subunit ribosomal RNA", at positions 1 to 522 of the family's 1533-position model. The record is from RNAcentral. Lineage: Bacteria; Pseudomonadati; Pseudomonadota; Gammaproteobacteria; Enterobacterales; Enterobacteriaceae.
UGGAGAGUUUGAUCCUGGCUCAGAUUGAACGCUGGCGGCAGGCCUAACACAUGCAAGUCGAACGGUAACAGRGAGCAGCUUGCUGCUCUGCUGACGAGUGGCGGACGGGUGAGUAAUGUCUGGGAAACUGCCUGAUGGAGGGGGAUAACUACUGGAAACGGUAGCUAAUACCGCAUAACGUCUACGGACCAAAGUGGGGGACCUUCGGGCCUCAUGCCAUCAGAUGUGCCCAGAUGGGAUUAGCUAGUAGGUGGGGUAACGGCUCACCUAGGCGACGAUCCCUAGCUGGUCUGAGAGGAUGACCAGCCACACUGGAACUGAGACACGGUCCAGACUCCUACGGGAGGCAGCAGUGGGGAAUAUUGCACAAUGGGCGCAAGCCUGAUGCAGCCAUGCCGCGUGUAUGAAGAAGGCCUUCGGGUUGUAAAGUACUUUCAGCGGGGAGGAAGGUGUUGUGGUUAAUAACCRCAGCAAUUGACGUUACCCGCAGAAGAAGCACCGGCUAACUCCGUGCCAGCAGCCGCGGUA